CAGUAGCCACGGGAAUACGUAGGUGGCAAGCGUUGUCCGGAAUUAUUGGGCGUAAAGGACUCGCAGGCGGUUUCUUAAGUCUGAUGUGAAAGCCCCCGGCUCAACCGGGGAGGGUCAUCGGAAACUGGGAAACUUGAGUGCAGAAGAGGAGAGUGGAAUUCCACGUGUAGCGGUGAAAUGCGUAGAGAUGUGGAGGAACACCAGUGGCGAAGGCGACUCUCUGGUCUGUAACUGACGCUGAGGAGCGAAAGCGUGGGGAGCGAACAGGAUUAGAUACCCCCGUAGUCCCUGUCUCUUAUAA
This 301-nucleotide ribosomal RNA is filed under the name uncultured bacterium. Its description in RNAcentral is "partial 16S ribosomal RNA". It matches the Rfam family "Bacterial small subunit ribosomal RNA", at positions 509 to 809 of the family's 1533-position model. The record is from RNAcentral.